AUGGUUGACUAAAUAUGGUCAGGGAAGAGAGAGGCACAAGAGAGCCUGUUUGCCUGGGAGUGCAUGUUUCAAAUGCUUAGCUGCCUAUAAAGCUGUAACAGUUUUGCUCAUGCCCUCUGAGUGGGAAAUACAGUUAGUUUCUUCUGUAGUGUGCAUGUGGGAGCCCUGACCUCACUCACAGACUUGACCUCUGGAGAUGGAAUGUAGCUUCAACACAGAUCUGCCUACAGUUAAGCCUGGAAACUUAACCUCAAUCAAGAACAAAUGCGGUGCAAUAUCUAAGGAGCUGGAAGAAAUUUUUUUUUUUUUUUUUUUUUUGGGUCACUCCAACUUUUUCUCUGAUUACUUUCAUCUGCCAAUGGGCUGAGUUCACCAUCCCAGGGCUUCCUAGCAUCUUUCCUUGGACACUUAAUUCUUAGCCCAGCAGCCACAAGAUAUUAAUUUCUACGCAACAUCAUCCAUAUUUUAUCAAUCCAAGAAAGGUAGCAGCACCAAGUAAGCUUCACUGUUCACACUAUUUUGCUUUGAAGUUUUAUCUAUUUAAGGUGGUAAGGUACUGUAUUCACUGACACUUCCCCCCUACUCCCCCUCGCAUAUAAUGAAGAGCUGAAUCAGACGAACACUCAAGAUGAGAUGGCUGCUGCUGAUGUAUCUCUCUAGGUCAUUACCUCUCUUCCAACUGCAAAUGCUGCAUGAUACUAAGCUUACAGGAAAGUACUUUGCAAAGCCACCCACCAAUGACAUCUCUACCUUCAAAAUUGGCCAGCCAGAAUGAACACCAAGAGACAACAAAAAUCUGGAUAAGUGCUUCAAAUGUCCAUGUCAUCACGGAACAUGGAACUGUAAAACACUUUAAGUCACUUUGCAGAUAAAGUUCAUUCUCAUCCACUAGUAAGGGAUCAAGAAAAAGAAGAGUCACAAAGUCUAAACACAGUCCAGAAGGAAAGUGUUCUCCUAUAUUUCUUGGACACUGAUAAUGUUCCAGCAUGGUAUUCAGGAUCACUGUCCUGAAGGAGGCUCUGUAUAGUUUGACAUUAGUGGUGAUUAAAGAUGCCAUGGCACAUUUUGUAAGACUAAGUGUUAAAGAUGAAUGAAAUUUCAACUUGGGUAAUUACAUUCUGCCUCUCUAAAUUUCCCUUGCAUUUUAAGUUGCAUACUGUGAUUGUCUUCAACUCGCAUCUUGAAUUGUUGUAUAGCAUUGUAGUGUUGUGUUAGCUGCUGCAUUUCAUUCCAGAGUGUUUUCUUCCAUUGGGAGGAGAAGCUAUUCCUAUUCAUACUGGUUUACAAUCUGCAAACUGCUCUGGGAUCCACCAGAAUGAAAUAUUAUAUAUAACUGUAUGAAACAGUCAAGUAUUUUUAAGUACUUUUAAAUACUAUGUUAAUGAAGUAAGCUAUUAUUUUUUUCCCCCAUUUAAUUUCCAUAGCCAAAAGACUGAACUUAAAGACUACUGAAUUAUUAA
Molecule: long non-coding RNA, 1460 nt
Organism: Malaclemys terrapin pileata
Lineage: Eukaryota; Metazoa; Chordata; Testudines; Emydidae
Exons: 3
Source: RefSeq, a predicted model, not a curated record